AGCAAGUAAAAGUUAUAACAAGCUGCGGAUAGAUGAUUAACGAGUUUGAACUCCGAAGGGUGUUGAUGGUGGGGAAUCGCACAUCGUGCGCGGCUCCCGUGCUCAAUCCAUUUCAACCCCCUUGUGCACCUUAUCGAAGUCAGUAGUCUUUCUCUUUUUGUUUGCCGGUUGUGUGUGGGAACCUCUUUCUGUUCACUUGGCCGGCGAGGAGAAAUAGAGGGUCGAAAGCUUUGACUUUUCUAUUAAACACUUUGUAUGUCUUGUGGAACGUAUUAGCUCCUUUGUAGGGGCGAAAUAAAUACAACUUUCAACAACGGAUCUCUUGGCUCUCGCAUCGAUGAAGAACGCAGCGAAAUGCGAUAAGUAAUGUGAAUUGCAGAAUUCAGUGAAUCAUCGAAUCUUUGAACGCACCUUGCGCCCCUUGGUAUUCCGAGGGGCAUGCCUGUUUGAGUGUCAUGUUAAUCUCAAACCCCUUGUCUUUUUUGUUGACUUGGUCGGUUUGGACUUGGAGGUGUUGCUGGCGUGAGUACGCACUACUAUGUGUCGGCUCCUCUUAAUUGCAUUAGCUGGACUUUGGUUCGCAUUUGACGGUGUAAUAGUAAAGUGUUCGCCGGGCGUGCUUGCCUAACGGGUCUGCUUCUAAUCGUCUUCGGACAACUCUGUUCAUUUUGACCUUGACCUCAAAUCUGGUAGGACUACUAGCAGAACUUAGACAUAUCGAUACUAGGAGGGAUUCCCACUAAAAACUGAUUCCCCUAGGGACUGAGAUCGAAGCUGAAAGAUGUCGGAUUUAGGAUCUCCGAGCUGUAAUCCGUCCGAGCAUUAUC
This 827-nucleotide ribosomal RNA is filed under the name Phellinus sp. YD-2015. RNAcentral describes it as "eukaryotic LSU rRNA". The stretch from base 303 to 456 matches the Rfam family "5.8S ribosomal RNA". The record is from RNAcentral. Lineage: Eukaryota; Fungi; Basidiomycota; Agaricomycetes; Hymenochaetales; Hymenochaetaceae.